Molecule: ribosomal RNA, 253 nt
Filed under: uncultured bacterium
Lineage: Bacteria
Description: partial 16S ribosomal RNA
Rfam family: Bacterial small subunit ribosomal RNA
Source: RNAcentral
UACGUAGGGGGCUAGCGUUGUCCGGAAUCAUUGGGCGUAAAGCGCGUGUAGGCGGUCCGGUAAGUCCGCUGUGAAAGUCGAGGGCUCAACCCUCGGAUGCCGGUGGAUACUGUCGGGCUUGAGUACGGAAGAGGCGAGUGGAAUUCCUGGUGUAGCGGUGGAAUGCGUAGAGAUCCGGAAGAACACCAGUGGCGAAGGCGGCAUCCUGGACCGGGAUUGACACUGAGGCGCGAAAGCCAGGGGAGCAAACGGG